CAGCAUUUGAAGAGGAGAGCCCAAGCUCAUGGGUUCCACUUCCUUGGAUCAUGCAGCCCUUCUGCCCGAGCCCAACGUGGAGGUGAAAGGCAGUCAGAUCACUAGAGCAGAGAGGACGGUGCCAGUGCCUCCAGGAACACGUUGGGGUGCUGGGUGGGUGGUACUGGGAAGGGCCUGCUUACAUGACGUCCACACUGUUUUGGAAUGGGGAAGAGAGAAGAAAAGUGUGAUGACUGGAGAAGUGAGGAUGAGAGGAGAUCAGGGAAGAUAAGGAGGCAAUAUUAGGAGAGAUAGGAUGGGGGUGGAAAGGUGUUAGCAGUGAAGCUUACUUAAAAAUUUGAGACAUUGAUGGGGAAAAUAGUGGUAAAACAAUUUCUGGUAGGCCCUCCAAGGGUUAACUGAGACCUUGGCUGAGAUGGUAGCAGUGAACCUUUGGUCACUGACUCCAGUGCCGUUGCUCUGGGUGUUUGCUGUGGCUGAGAUCCAGAAGGACAGUGGAGAGAGAAAGGCUCAGCCUCACCCAAGGAGAGGCAGCAGUCAGGGUGGUGCCCUGGGCAAGGGGCAGGAAGGCUGUCUGGUUGCUGUCUUAACUGUUGGUCACACACACCUGGGCCGAAAACGACUGGCAUCUGAAACCCCUUGGACUUGCUGGAGGCAGCCUAGUCUACCUGCGGAUGUUGUGAAUUAGGAGCUGGCCAAAGAGUGGGAGAGCUCCAGGAUCCCUCCCCAAAAAAGAGUGCU
Molecule: long non-coding RNA, 741 nt
Filed under: Serinus canaria (Common canary)
Lineage: Eukaryota; Metazoa; Chordata; Aves; Passeriformes; Fringillidae
Description: lncRNA (ENSSCAG00000013119.1)
Source: RNAcentral